Molecule: long non-coding RNA, 213 nt
Filed under: Elaeis guineensis (African oil palm)
Lineage: Eukaryota; Viridiplantae; Streptophyta; Magnoliopsida; Arecales; Arecaceae
Description: long non-coding RNA (EGUI_LNC017209)
Source: RNAcentral
GGAUGAGAGACGGAUAUAUCCCAACAUCCUAAAAUGAAGAAAAAUAAAAUAAUAAAUUUUGAUAUGGAGAUGUACCUUUCGAUACGGAGGUGUAUCUUUCGAUACAUUCCUUCAAUUCUCAAACAGAUUAUUCCUACACAUUCCAUUAAAUGAUAUGAAACUAUAGACACCCCAGCCCAUUAAUUGGAUGGUUAGAUUAAAUUUUUAGCCCCU